ACGCACGCUGGCGGCGUGCUUAACACAUGCCAGUCGCACGGAAAGGCCCUGCUUGUAGGGUACUCGAGUGGCGAACGGGUGAGUAACACGUGGGUGAUCUGCCCUGCACUUCGGGAUAAGCCUGGGAAACUGGGUCUAAUACCGGAUAGGAGCCAUUUUUAGUGUGAUGGUUGGAAAGUUUUUUCGGUGUAGGAUGAGCUCGCGGCCUAUCAGCUUGUUGGUGGGGUAAUGGCCUACCAAGGCGGCGACGGGUAGCCGGCCUGAGAGGGUGGACGGCCACAUUGGGACUGAGAUACGGCCCAGACUCCUACGGGAGGCAGCAGUGGGGAAUAUUGCACAAUGGGCGCAAGCCUGAUGCAGCGACGCCGCGUGGGGGAUGACGGCCUUCGGGUUGUAAACUCCUUUCGCUAGGGACGAAGCUUUUUGUGACGGUACCUAGAUAAGAAGCACCGGCUAACUACGUG
RNAcentral lists this ribosomal RNA (464 nucleotides) under uncultured bacterium. RNAcentral describes it as "partial 16S ribosomal RNA". It matches the Rfam family "Bacterial small subunit ribosomal RNA", at positions 29 to 507 of the family's 1533-position model. The record is from RNAcentral.